GACUUUCUUACAGCAAUUUAGUAAUUAAAUCAAAACAUAUUCUGUCAUUGUUUUACUUAGGUAAUCUAAUAUACAAAUUUGGAUAACUCAUAAAAGUCUG
Molecule: non-coding RNA, 100 nt
Filed under: Tieghemostelium lacteum
Lineage: Eukaryota; Evosea; Eumycetozoa; Dictyosteliales; Raperosteliaceae
Description: Dictyostelium lacteum Class I RNA from Dictyostelium
Rfam family: Class I RNA from Dictyostelium
Source: Rfam by way of RNAcentral